Non-coding RNA from Nothobranchius furzeri (turquoise killifish), 454 nucleotides. NCBI's taxonomy places the organism in Eukaryota, Metazoa, Chordata, Actinopteri, Cyprinodontiformes, Nothobranchiidae. The record is from RefSeq and is a predicted model, not a curated record.
UUUUCGCCUGAAUGAAGGAUGGGUCGUGUGUAUCCUUCAAUAGGUAGCAUUUCCCAAGAUGCCUUGCGGGCCGGCCGGCAGAAAAACUUAAAAACAAUGGCGGACAGUGAAGCGGGAGCUGUCGGAGAGGAUUGCGCAUAUACAUGAACAAAAGAGAAAACCAGGGAAUUUAUUAAGCUUAGGACGGAGAUGGACCACAUGAUCACCGGAGCAAAGUAUUCGGCGGCUGUGGCAUGGAGACUAUUCUGGAGAAAAUGGGCAUCCAGGGGAAGGUGCCAGCGAUGAGCUUCUGGAGCUGAUCUGGGAGGACAUGAGGCUGCAGAGGGAGGCAGAGCAGCAGGAGCCCAGGAGAGAAGGAAGAACUUUGACAGCUUUUUACUUUGCUAGAAAAAAAUGGUUAAGGAAGAUUAAACAUGUACAUGUAAAAGAAAUAUCUAAAUAAAAUCAGUUCUGC